UACCKGGUUGAUCCUGCCAGUAGU
This 24-nucleotide ribosomal RNA is filed under the name Senecio pinnatifolius var. lanceolatus. RNAcentral's name for it is "partial small subunit ribosomal RNA". The record is from RNAcentral. Lineage: Eukaryota; Viridiplantae; Streptophyta; Magnoliopsida; Asterales; Asteraceae.